RNAcentral lists this ribosomal RNA (463 nucleotides) under uncultured bacterium. Its description in RNAcentral is "bacterial SSU rRNA". It matches the Rfam family "Bacterial small subunit ribosomal RNA", at positions 331 to 792 of the family's 1533-position model. The record is from RNAcentral.
CCAGACUCCUACGGGAGGCAGCAGUGAGGAAUAUUGGUCAAUGGCCGAGAGGCUGAACCAGCCAAGUCGCGUGAGGGAUGACGGCCCUACGGGUUGUAAACCUCUUUUGUCGGGGAGCAAAGAGAGUCACGUGUGGCUCAUUGAGAGUACCCGAAGAAAAAGCAUCGGCUAACUCCGUGCCAGCAGCCGCGGUAAUACGGAGGAUGCGAGCGUUAUCCGGAUUUAUUGGGUUUAAAGGGUGCGUAGGCGGGAUGCCAAGUCAGCGGUAAAAAUGCGGUGCUCAACGCCGUCGAGCCGUUGAAACUGGCGUUCUUGAGUGGGCGAGAAGUAUGCGGAAUGCGUGGUGUAGCGGUGAAAUGCAUAGAUAUCACGCAGAACUCCGAUUGCGAAGGCAGCAUACCGGCGCCCUACUGACGCUGAGGCACGAAAGCGUGGGUAUCGAACAGGAUUAGAUACCCCUGUA